Cyprinodon variegatus (sheepshead minnow) is the source of this 1240-nucleotide long non-coding RNA. RefSeq lists it as uncharacterized. The transcript is spliced from 3 exons. The record is from RefSeq and is a predicted model, not a curated record. NCBI's taxonomy places the organism in Eukaryota, Metazoa, Chordata, Actinopteri, Cyprinodontiformes, Cyprinodontidae.
CAGAGGAGGAGAAAACUGAAGAAGAAAACCCGGAAAAAACAGGCAGUGAAGUUCAGAAAGAUCAGGAAACACCUCAGGAUAAAAUUCAGUACACGCAACCAGGAAUGAAGGAGGAGGAAAGCAGCCAUUUCUUUGCCUACUUUGUCACUGGAGCUGUACUGGUGGCAAUGCUUUACAUCGCUAUCCACAACAAGCGCAAGAUUAUUGCCUUUCUUUUGGAAGGAAAAAGAUCCGGAUCCACUCGACGACCUAAAUCCGCACACUACCAGAAGCUGGAGCAAAAUAUGUGAUCCAAAGCUUCCUGGAAAAACUGUGGUGGAUCUGCACUAAAGAAAAGGACCUUUCUCUAUAUGGACACUUCCGAUUUUGACUUUUAACUGUUUGUUGCAUGACUAAGCAUACGACAGAUUGCCUUAUCCGGAGGGUAUGUUAAGUAGGCUUGCAGUAUUUUGCACUUGUGUAAAUGUUUUGAUUUUUGGGCCUUCUGGUUUGAGGGAGGUGGUGGAUCAGGAUGCUUGGUAGCAAAUCAGUUGUCUUAAAUCUGUCUUGUUUUUAUGUCACAGUAUAGAUGUCAACAUGUACCUGAAUAAGCCAUCACAGAGUGUUUUGUUGCUUUGGAAAUGCCUUUAAUAUAUGCUGUUUCCUUGAAAACAAUCUAUUUUAUAAUUACAGGUAUAAUCAGGUUAAUGUCGCCUGGCUAAUCUGUGGUCCGCUUCCUCUGUUUGAGCUGAGGAGGCUUCAACUUGUGCCACUUGAUGGGUUGGACUCAUCCAUUAAGUUUACCUAUAAAUGUAUUUGUAGGAUAGGAUUUCAGUGCAGCCUCUUUGUUUUUUUGCUGUCAGGAAAAAGAGUGCUUUGCUGAAACUACCACUAAAAUAUGAAGUUGGGUCAGCCAUCAAACAUUUGUUUUGUUAUUUAGAAAUGAAAAACCAAAUCUUUUCCAAAUGGUUUGAGAUAAUCCUGUGGUUUAUCUUGUCUUUUUUUUUUUUUUGCCUCAUACUUUGAGGUAAACCAUUUUUUUUCUUCUAGGAAGUGUGUAUGAACCAACUUGCAGCUUUCUAGAAACAGUUGUUUGUAAUAUCUGAAAUUGUUUUAAAAUUUGACCUGUGGUUUUCUGUGAAGAUGGGUAUCGGGAAGGAUUAAAUGAUGAGGUAUUUCAGAAAGAAUUGUAUAAAGAUAACGUUUUUUUAAAAAUAUACCAGAUCUAAGCAGUUUAGUGCUUCUACUGAAAUAAAUGAUA